CAGCCGCCACGGUAAAACGGAGGGUGCAAGCGUUAAUCGGAAUUACUGGGCGUAAAGCGCACGCAGGCGGUCUGACAAGUCAGAUGUGAAAUCCCCGGGCUUAACCUGGGAACUGCAUUUGAAACUGUCAGGCUGGAGUCUUGUAGAGGGGGGUAGAAUUCCAGGUGUAGCGGUGAAAUGCGUAGAGAUCUGGAGGAAUACCGGUGGCGAAGGCGGCCCCCUGGACAAAGACUGACGCUCAGGUGCGAAAGCGUGGGGAGCAAACAGGAUUAGAUACCCGGGUAGUCCCUGUCUCUUAUAC
RNAcentral lists this ribosomal RNA (301 nucleotides) under uncultured bacterium. RNAcentral describes it as "partial 16S ribosomal RNA". It matches the Rfam family "Bacterial small subunit ribosomal RNA", at positions 509 to 807 of the family's 1533-position model. The record is from RNAcentral.